This is a non-coding RNA of Rhododendron simsii, 115 nucleotides long. Lineage: Eukaryota; Viridiplantae; Streptophyta; Magnoliopsida; Ericales; Ericaceae. The record is from the annotation of a GenBank genome assembly.
GCGAUCAUAUCAUUACUAAUGCACCGAAUUCCAUCCAAACUUCGCAGUUAAGCGUGCUUGGGCGAGAAUAGUACUAGGAUGGGUGACCCCCUGGGAAGUACUCGUGUUGCACCUC